UUUCUUUUUGACAUACACCCUGGUUACUGUCAAACAGUUUUUUUUGUCACAGACAUUAUAAAAUAAAUACUAUAAAUUUUUUUCUUUUCUUGAUUAUAAAUAGCAAUUAAGAUUAAUAGAAACAAUUUUCAUGAUUCAUAUUUUAGUAUUAAGAAUUAAUGUAAAAAAGUAAUGCGAGAGAACAAUGGCAGUGUCUAACUUUUACGUAUUUUUGUUAUUAUUGGGUAUUGUAACAAUAACUAAAUGUGAAAGACUUCAUGAACAGAUAUACUCAUCUAUAGAAGGGGGGGCUCCAUGUUUUAGACGUCUAAAUGGCACACACCAAGCAGGAUGCUCUUCUUCAGACAAAGGGGCAGUUGGGGUGAUACACAUGGUGGAUAAUAUAAGCGAUGCUCAGUGGCUUGUUUAUAAUGCAACAGAGGGCCCAUAUAUGGCAGUUGUCAGUACUUCCUUGUUCUAUGAUAUUGUUGAAUUAUUUAUGUCAUAUCCUAAAAAUAUUGCCGGUGUGCUGAUAUAUGACAAUGUAAAUGACAGUGCCACAUCCUUUACUCAAGAUUCAAGAUGUCCAAACGAAUAUUCUUCUGGUCCUGGUAGUUUGUGCUCGUCAUCUCAAGCAGGAGGAGUUGUAUGGAAUGAGAAAGGGACAGGCUUACUAAAGAGAGAUAUACCAUUCCCUAUAUUUUUUUUACCACAAUCACGUUCUGAGGAGAUUGUCAAAAUUCGGGAUUGUUAUGAAAGAUUCAACUAUGAUAAAAAUAAUCAACAAGGAAGACCACUUUGUUCAGCUCAACUUAAUUCCUUCAUGUUUGCUGCAGUUAGUAGUGAAGUGUGUAUGAGGAGAUCUGCUACAUCGACUCUUUUAUCGCCUACUAAAGUUUGUGAUCCCUUGGGUGACAAUAAUGUAUACUAUUCUUUAUUCCCUGGAAUUAAGACAAAAGAUUCAGCAAAAAAAUCAGUUACAUUAGUUACGGCGAGGAUAGACAGUGCUUCACUCUUUGAUGGUGUAUCGCCAGGUUCCGCAAGUUCUGUUGUAGGAAUGGUCACUCUGAUAACAGCUGCUGCUACACUCUCUCAAUUGAUACCUGUAACGGACUCACAAUUGUAUGAGCAAAACGUUCUGUGGACGCUAUUCAAUGGCGAGGCGUUCGACUACAUCGGGUCGCAGCGCGUCGCGUACGACCUGCAGCGCGCCGCCUGGCCCGCGCAUGCGCCGCUCACGCCCGCCGACAUACCGCUGCACGUCGAGAUAGGACAGAUCGGAGGCUCCGUCAUCAGCCAUCUCAAUGAUACCACAUGGCCUUUACAUGCUUUCACCGCUACGCAAAUAGUGUCUGAGACAUUGAAAUUUCUAAACAGUCUGUCUACAUACGGCGAAAUGUAUAAUAUGACAGUUUUCUCCGAAUAUACGACCAAUCUACCGCCUUCGUCGUUACAUUCGUUCCGGCGAAUAUUAAGAAAUGUUACAGAAAGCGGGGACUUAGGAGAACUUCUGAUAACCGACCAUAAUAAUACAUUUACCAACAUGUAUUAUAAUUCCGCUUUAGACGAUUACGACAAAAUAGGUUUUAACUAUCACAACAUUAGUAUUAGUAGUGAUGGACAAUUCGUGCCCACGCCUGAACUCAUCGCCAAUGGUACAAUGAAAGAGAACGAGUUGCAAGUAAAGAUAUCCCGGCUGUCUACGGUGGUGGCUCGCACUUUAUACCAGAGAGUUACGGGCAAAGACUACGCGGGGGAUGUUGUGGCAUCGGCUCAUUUGGUGGACGAGAUGCUGUAUUGUUUCCUUCGUAGUCAGGCGUGUCGGCUGCUGCUGGCGGCGGAAUACGCGCAGGGCGCAGGCGCGGAGGAGAGUCUGCCCGACCGCGCCGCGCCGCUGUACGUGGGCGUGGCCACGUGGCCCGCCACCGCGCCCGUGUUCGCCGGACACCUGCUCGCGCUGCUCACCGGCACGCAUCUGCCGCUAAAUAAAUCCGGCUGCGAUGCGCAGAAAGAGGAGGGUUUCUCGAAUUAUUGGCUACGUGGAUGGAAUCACACCGGUGUUUGUAUUCAGACUACCAUGAACUUUAGUCAGGCUCUGAGUCCAGCCUUUAUAAUUCCAGACUACGACCUCAAAUCAGGCAUAUAUUCGACGUGGACGGAGUCGGUGUGGCACGCGAUGUGGGCGCGCGUGUUCGUGUCGGCGCGCUGCUCACCUACUGGCUGCAGCGACACGCGUCGCUAGUCUUCCUCGACAGGGCGCCGGCCUCCAUGGCGGUAGACGACGCCGCUUCGGGAAUAUUAAGGACAGUCAAUUGUUGAAGAAUAUCACACGUUGUGAACGAAGGCUGUGUACAUAGACUAUGUUGUAUGGUGAUGAGUUAACAUUCCAUCACGAUUAUGAUAAUGAUGUAUAAGUCCAAAUGUAAAGUAAUCUUCAUAAUAUCCAAUGACAAUGUGUGUUAUGAUUGGAUCAUCAAUAGGUAUUAUUGAAAUAUUUGGAUUGUCCAGCAAAUAAAUAACUCAUUUGCUUAUACUUUGAAUGUGUAGAAAUUAAUGUACCUAAUAAAUUAUUAUAUAAUUAAGUAUUUUUCUUUGUCUGGUAAUAACUAAUUAAAAAUAAUGUAAAAGUUUCUAUAAUGUAUUGAAAUUACUUUUUAUUUAUAUUUUUUUUUCCUAUUUUCUACUUUGUUUUGACAAUAGGCUAAAUUAACUGAGACAAAAUAAAAAGCAAGUAGCUACUA
RNAcentral lists this unclassified non-coding RNA (2720 nucleotides) under Manduca sexta (tobacco hornworm). RNAcentral describes it as "nicastrin, transcript variant X2". Lineage: Eukaryota; Metazoa; Arthropoda; Insecta; Lepidoptera; Sphingidae. The record is from RNAcentral.